Molecule: long non-coding RNA, 1117 nt
Filed under: Astyanax mexicanus (Mexican tetra)
Lineage: Eukaryota; Metazoa; Chordata; Actinopteri; Characiformes; Acestrorhamphidae
Description: lncRNA (ENSAMXG00005013347.1)
Source: RNAcentral
GAUAGAACAAUCCCUAUCACUUUCUUUUCUCACCCCCUCUCUUAAUUCUCUGCCCCCCUCUUGUUCAGCAGAUCUCUAUGGGACCACCCCAGGGUAAAAGGCCUGCGGUCUGUAAGAGGGUGUUCCAUAAGGCCAUGAGUUGCCUCGCUGGGUUUUAUGGUCAAAAAGGGCCCCAUGCCAAGACCUCUUCUAUUCCUUUCACAAGCACAGCAAUCUGCACACCAGAUGAAUGAGUUACUUAACCAGCAGCAGGGAGAGGAAGAGAAGCUGAAGAAGGGAUGUCCUUGUUCUCCACAGUCUUCCAGCUUCCCAGAACAGUGAGGAACCUACAAUACUAGGAAAACAACAAGACCUUGAUGUUUUUCCAAUAAUUGGCAGUGGAGGUCGAUUCUCCCCCUUCUUCCUGCUUCUUUUAAGAGAUGAAUCGCUGGCGGCCGAUCAAAGCCGGAGCCCUGUACGGCUGCAGCCGGCACAAAGGGGCGUCAGGGCUGGAACAUCGCCCAAGUCACCCGCUACUGCCACGCAGAUGGGCAACAUCGCUUCAGGGGUCAGCGUCGGAGUGGUGGAACACUCAUUUCCUGUGCCAUUCUCUGUUUUCACUCUCUUUCUUUCACUCUAUGAUCAGCCACAACAUUAAAACCACCUGCCUAAUCUUGCACAGGUCCACAAUUGGCCCUCUUGUGGAGGCCGGGUUAACGGCUGUAAAGAAGCACCAUGUUCUCUCGGUGUCUCGCCAAACAUCCUCUGGUUUCUUUUUUCUAGGCUAACUGUGAGGAGUCAUCAGAUCAAUCUCUCUAGAAGGAUCCCUCAUGACCCGAGAUUUGUCAUCCAGCACCACAGACCUUUAUUUACCCUUCACACAGGAGAAUGGAUGAAGGAGAUGACAGCAGACCAAAAAGAAAUGGCUAACUGUGAGGAGUCAUCAGAUCAAUCUCUCUAGAAGGAUCCCUCAUGGACCAAGAUUUGUCAUCCAGCACCACAGACCUUUAUUUACCCUUCACACAGGAGAAUAGAUGAAGGAGAUGAGAGGAUGAGGAAGCAGACCAAAGGUAUGCAAAUAUGGUAAGCAAAAACUGUUGUCAGGGUUUUAAUCAGUCAGUGGCGUGUUUUUCGUGGC